RNAcentral lists this long non-coding RNA (627 nucleotides) under Ovis aries (sheep). RNAcentral's name for it is "lncRNA (ENSOARG00000026138.1)". Lineage: Eukaryota; Metazoa; Chordata; Mammalia; Artiodactyla; Bovidae. The record is from RNAcentral.
AUGCCGGAUGCGCUGGAGCUCACGGUAAGGCAGGCCCAGGUGCAGGGCCACAGCUGGCCAGUCAGGGCCCAGGCGCCCGGCCACAUUCAGCAGGUUGCUCUGGGUCAGGAAGCCAGUCUCGGCGUCGCCCAGGUUCAGAGGUGCCAGGGAGAGGCCAGGCUCCCGGGUCGGGCCCUCGCAUCCCCGCAAUCUCUGCGGGCAGAGCCACUGGGCCUGAGAGGCCUCAUCUGCACAGCAAACCCUAGGCACAGCCCAAAAGUGCCAAGCCCGCUGCCCUCUGGAGUAAGCGGCCUGUCCAGGAGCCGAUCUUCUUCGGCCAGGAGAGCCAGGAAGCCCUACCCUGCACCUCUCCCGCCUCCUCUGCCUCCAGGGAGGAACAGGAGGCGCCGACGUCCAGGCUGGGAGCCGCCCCAGUCAGGGGCUGGCGGGGUGCACGGCCCCGCCCUGGCGGGCAGGUCCCUGCAAACUUCACCCUGUGGGCCCCACCAGGCAGAAGCGAAGGGAGUGCCUUUCCUCUCUUGCAUUCCCAGAUGCUGCCGGGAAGCUUCUGGAGUGGCUUUGUCGGGCAAAACAUAAACCACGCUGCUAUCAACCACUCCCAGAUGCCCGCCACUGCCAGCGAAGGAC